RNAcentral lists this ribosomal RNA (305 nucleotides) under uncultured bacterium. Its description in RNAcentral is "bacterial SSU rRNA". It matches the Rfam family "Bacterial small subunit ribosomal RNA", at positions 337 to 636 of the family's 1533-position model. The record is from RNAcentral.
ACCUACGGGGGGCAGCAGUAGGGAAUUUUCGUCAAUGGGCGCAAGCCUGAACGAGCAAUGCCGCGUGAACGAGGAAGGUCUUCGGAUCGUAAAGUUCUGUUGAAGGGGAAAAAGAGCGGAGAGAGGAAAUGCUUUCUGAUUGAUAUUACCCUUCGAGGAAGUCACGGCUAACUACGUGCCAGCAGCCGCGGUAAUACGUAGGUGGCGAGCGUUAUCCGGAAUGAUUGGGCGUAAGGGUGCGUAGGCGGCCUGCUAAGUCUGGAGUGAAAGGUACCGGCUCAACCGGUACAGGCUCUGGAAACUGG